RNAcentral lists this ribosomal RNA (411 nucleotides) under uncultured Chryseobacterium sp. Its description in RNAcentral is "bacterial SSU rRNA". It matches the Rfam family "Bacterial small subunit ribosomal RNA", at positions 338 to 741 of the family's 1533-position model. Lineage: Bacteria; Pseudomonadati; Bacteroidota; Flavobacteriia; Flavobacteriales; Weeksellaceae. The record is from RNAcentral.
CCUACGGGGGGCAGCAGUGGGGAAUCUUCCACAAUGGGCGAAAGCCUGAUGGAGCAACGCCGCGUGAGUGAAGAAGGUCUUCGGAUCGUAAAGCUCUGUUGCACGGGACGAAAACCGGGUUUGAGAAUAUUGAACCCGGGUGACGGUACCGAGCGAGGAAGCCACGGCUAACUACGUGCCAGCAGCCGCGGUAAUACGUAGGUGGCGAGCGUUGUCCGGAAUUAUUGGGCGUAAAGGGAGCGCAGGCGGACAUAUAAGUCCAUCUUAAAAGUGCGGGGCUCAACCCCGUGAGGGGAUGGAAACUGUAUGCCUUGAGUGCAGGAGAGGAAAGCGGAAUUCCCAGUGUAGCGGUGAAAUGCGUAGAUAUUGGGAGGAACACCAGUGGCGAAGGCGGCUUUCUGGACUGCAACU